GAGGGUAUAGAUCAGUGGUAAACUGCAUGCCUAGCAUGCAUGAAGUCCUGGGUUCAAUCCCUGUAUCUCCA
This 71-nucleotide transfer RNA is filed under the name Camelus bactrianus (Bactrian camel). It matches the Rfam family "tRNA". Rfam says of the family: Transfer RNA (tRNA) molecules are approximately 80 nucleotides in length. RNAcentral also lists the same sequence under 3 other names. The record is from Rfam by way of RNAcentral. Lineage: Eukaryota; Metazoa; Chordata; Mammalia; Artiodactyla; Camelidae.